RNAcentral lists this ribosomal RNA (780 nucleotides) under Lactiplantibacillus pentosus. RNAcentral describes it as "bacterial SSU rRNA". It matches the Rfam family "Bacterial small subunit ribosomal RNA", at positions 1 to 750 of the family's 1533-position model. Lineage: Bacteria; Bacillati; Bacillota; Bacilli; Lactobacillales; Lactobacillaceae. The record is from RNAcentral.
UAGAGUUUGAAANCAUGGCUCAGGACGAACGCUGGCGGCGUGCCUAAUACAUGCAAGUCGAACGAACUCUGGUAUUGAUUGGUGCUUGCAUCAUGAUUUACAUUUGAGUGAGUGGCGAACUGGUGAGUAACACGUGGGAAACCUGCCCAGAAGCGGGGGAUAACACCUGGAAACAGAUGCUAAUACCGCAUAACAACUUGGACCGCAUGGUCCGAGUUUGAAAGAUGGCUUCGGCUAUCACUUUUGGAUGGUCCCGCGGCGUAUUAGCUAGAUGGUGGGGUAACGGCUCACCAUGGCAAUGAUACGUAGCCGACCUGAGAGGGUAAUCGGCCACAUUGGGACUGAGACACGGCCCAAACUCCUACGGGAGGCAGCAGUAGGGAAUCUUCCACAAUGGACGAAAGUCUGAUGGAGCAACGCCGCGUGAGUGAAGAAGGGUUUCGGCUCGUAAAACUCUGUUGUUAAAGAAGAACAUAUCUGAGAGUAACUGUUCAGGUAUUGACGGUAUUUAACCAGAAAGCCACGGCUAACUACGUGCCAGCAGCCGCGGUAAUACGUAGGUGGCAAGCGUUGUCCGGAUUUAUUGGGCGUAAAGCGAGCGCAGGCGGUUUUUUAAGUCUGAUGUGAAAGCCUUCGGCUCAACCGAAGAAGUGCAUCGGAAACUGGGAAACUUGAGUGCAGAAGAGGACAGUGGAACUCCAUGUGUAGCGGUGAAAUGCGUAGAUAUAUGGAAGAACACCAGUGGCGAAGGCGGCUGUCUGGUCUGUAACUGACGCUGNG